AUUGAACGCUGGCGGCAUGCUUUACACAUGCAAGUCGAACGGUAACAGGCCGCCAGGUGCUGACGAGUGGCGCACGGGCGAGUAAUUCAUCCGAACGUGCCCAGUCGUGGGGGAUAACUACUCGAAAGAGUAGCUAAUACCGCAUACGAUCUAUGGAUGAUAUCGGGGGACCGUAAGGCCUCGCGCGAUUGGAGCGGUCGAUGUCCGAUUAGGUAGUUGGUGGGGUAAAGGCUCACCAAGCCAACGAUCUGUAGCUGGUCUGAUAGGACGACUAGCCACCCUGGGACUGAGACACGGCCCAGACUACUACGGGAGGCAGCAGUGGGGAAUGUGGGACAAAGGGCGCAAGCCUGAUCCAGCAAUGCCGCGUGCGGGAAGAAGGCCUUCGGGUUGUAAACUGCUUUUGUACGGAACGAAACGGCUCUGGUUAAUACCCGGGGCUAAUGACGGUACCGUAAGAAUAAGCACCGGCUAACUACGUG
Molecule: ribosomal RNA, 482 nt
Filed under: uncultured bacterium
Lineage: Bacteria
Description: partial 16S ribosomal RNA
Rfam family: Bacterial small subunit ribosomal RNA
Source: RNAcentral